GAGGGUAUAGCUCAGUGGUAGAGCACGUGCUUAGCAUGCACGAGGUCCUGGGUUCAAGCCCCAGUACCUCCA
RNAcentral lists this transfer RNA (72 nucleotides) under Camelus bactrianus (Bactrian camel). It matches the Rfam family "tRNA". From Rfam's summary of the family: Transfer RNA (tRNA) molecules are approximately 80 nucleotides in length. RNAcentral also lists the same sequence under 2 other names. Lineage: Eukaryota; Metazoa; Chordata; Mammalia; Artiodactyla; Camelidae. The record is from Rfam by way of RNAcentral.